AAACGUGGCGCCUUUAUCUAAACGAAAAAGAAAUAUUUUAAUACACAAUAAUCCCUAUAUGAAGUGGAAAUUAUUUUUGGAGAAGUUUCGUAGAUAUGGAUUUUAUUAAGUAAGGUAAUAAAAGGCUUACGAAAAUGACGACAAAUUAUCGAUCUCCUAUAUCAGCAGAAGAAAGACUGGUAGUAACGUUAAGGUACCAAAAAGUAACAAAGAAUGGAAAGCUAUCGAAAGUGAUUUCAACCAUAGAUGGAAUUUUCCAGGAUGUUAUGGUGCCAUUGAUGGAAAACAUACUUAUUCGAGCUCCUGAGAAUUGUGGCAGUAACUUUUUCAACUAUAAGGGACAAAACAGUAUUAUUUUGAUGGCAAUUGUAGACGGAAAUUACAAUUUUAUAUACAUUGAUGUUGGCUACAAUGGAAGAGCCUCAGAUGGAGGAGUUUUUGCGCAGUGUUCUAUUUUUGCUGCUUUAGAAAACAAUAUAUUACCGGAUGGUGGAUUUCUUGUUGGAGACGACGCUUUUCCGUUAAAGCAUUAUUUACUUAAACCAUAUUCAAAGAAUGCACUUACUGUUGAUGAAAAAAUCUUCAAUUAUAGAUUGUCUCGUGCAAGAAGAAUUGUGGAAAUUGGUUUUGGUAUUUUAGUGUCGAGAUUUCGAGUUUUUGAGAAACCCAUAGCUUGUGGACUAUCAUCAGUAGAUAAAAUAGUCAGAACAUGUUGUGUCCUACAUAACUGGCUUAGAUGCACUACUGUAAAUGAAUAUUUUCCAAAGGGAUCCGUUGACGAAGAAGAUAUCGAUCAAGGUAGAAUUAUUCUUGGAAGUUGGAGGUCAGAAGUAGCUGGUUUGCCAUCAGUUUCACGUAUAGGAAGUAAUCAUUCUUCACAAUUUGCAAGAAAUUUAAGGGAUAAAUAUAAACACUAUUUUAUGACUACAGGGGCCGUUUCAUGGCAGGAACGAAUGAUUUUUUAAUUUCUUUUUAAUAUAUUUUGUAUUCAAUUACUAAUAUAGGUACAUAUAAUAAAAAAUA
Molecule: long non-coding RNA, 1023 nt
Organism: Anthonomus grandis grandis
Lineage: Eukaryota; Metazoa; Arthropoda; Insecta; Coleoptera; Curculionidae
Exons: 2
Source: RefSeq, a predicted model, not a curated record